Molecule: long non-coding RNA, 368 nt
Filed under: Homo sapiens (human)
Lineage: Eukaryota; Metazoa; Chordata; Mammalia; Primates; Hominidae
Description: HSALNT0401787
Source: RNAcentral
CUGUCUUGAUGACGCACAGUGCUGGCGCAAGUCGUCUUGCGCCAGGCGACUGGGUCUGAGGAGGCAGGAGUUAUUCAUUCCCUUAAGCUUUCAGGCCGGGGGGAGAAUCUUUCAGGUGGUAGCUGCAAGAACUCUUAGUAUGUUGACCUCACCUCUGCCUUCCACAUACCACUACCAGUGAGGAAUUAGGAAUGCAUGAGAAGAGUGUCCAAGAAGAGUGUCCUCAUUCAUGCAAGGCUUAAGAGAGAAUGCAGGUCAACAUCACCAUGUCAAUCAGAGAAUACUUCUGUUGGGUUGAAUGACUCUCUGCCCCCAGCGUAGUUUGGAACCAGCAGCAGCAGCAGCUCCCCAGACCUACUGAAUCAGAA